Non-coding RNA from Mycena galopus ATCC 62051, 92 nucleotides. Lineage: Eukaryota; Fungi; Basidiomycota; Agaricomycetes; Agaricales; Mycenaceae. The record is from the annotation of a GenBank genome assembly.
UCGGACAUGGUGUAUGGUACACAGCCUCUUGCUGUUCGCGAGUUUUGUGAGGAGUUUAGAGGCACUCCGGGGUUCGACUCCCCGUGUCCGAA